UCAGGCCUAACACAUGCAAGUCGAGCGAGACCUUCGGGUCUAGCGGCGGACGGGUGGGUAACGCGUGGGAAUAUGCCCUUCGGUUCGGAAUAGCCCCGGGAAACUGGGAGUAAUACCGGAUACGGUCUACGGACGAAAGAUUUAUCGCCGAAGGAUUAGCCCGCGUUGGAUUAGGUAGUUGGUGGGGUAAUGGCCUACCAAGCCGACGAUCCAUAGCUGGUUUGAGAGGAUGAUCAGCCACACUGGGACUGAGACACGGCCCAGACUCCUACGGGAGGCAGCAGUGGGGAAUCUUAGACAAUGGGGGAAACCCUGAUCUAGCCAUGCCGCGUGAGCAAAGGAGGCCUUAGGGUUGUAAAGCUCUUCAGCU
This 370-nucleotide ribosomal RNA is filed under the name uncultured bacterium. Its description in RNAcentral is "bacterial SSU rRNA". It matches the Rfam family "Bacterial small subunit ribosomal RNA", at positions 42 to 440 of the family's 1533-position model. The record is from RNAcentral.